GGGCGAGUGGCGGAACUGGCAUACGCGCACGACUCAAAAUCGUGUGGAUUUAUCCAUAAGGGUUCAACUCCCUUCUCGCCCACCA
Molecule: transfer RNA, 85 nt
Filed under: bacterium BMS3Abin15
Lineage: Bacteria
Also listed under: 2 other names
Description: tRNA-Leu
Rfam family: tRNA
About the family: Transfer RNA (tRNA) molecules are approximately 80 nucleotides in length. Their secondary structure includes four short double-helical elements and three loops (D, anti-codon, and T loops).
Source: RNAcentral